UGAUGAUAAAAAUGGGAGGUGAGCUGAAGCCUAAUGCGUGACAGGAGAAUAUAAGGAUUGAUAGCUUCGAAUUUUAAAACCCUUUGGUCCCCAAAACAUAAAGGGCUUAUUGAGCUAUUGUCCCUUUCAUUUGCUUUGUUUGGUCACAAUUAUUGAUUUUGAAAGCAAAAAGAUGAAUUUAAAAGUUGAAAAUCAAAUGUCAAAAAUCAACAUAAAUUAAAGGUCUAUUUAAAUGGACAAUAAAAUUAAUUUGUGUAAGAUUACAAAAAUAAAAUAAAAUUUUUUAUUUUUGUCGAUGAAAUUAAUUAUUAUAAAAUUAAUAUUAAAAUUAAUAAUAUAAAUAUAUAUUUAAAUACAAAUGAAAUAAUGAUAAAAUUGAAUAUAAAAGUUAACGUUUUACCCAAAAAAAUCUAUUUUUCUAAGAUCAAAUGAAUCUCUUGUAGUUGGAGGCAUAAACCUCCCUUGAAUUUCUUUCGAAAGUAGAUGAAAUAUAAAUGAGAGCUAAAUAUUUGCAUAAUAAAGUUGAUUUUAGUGAUGGAAAUAGAUUGUGUCGGGAUAGAUUUUUGUUUAUUUUGAUUUUAAUUUAAUUUCAUAAAAUAUAUAUUCAAUUUUGAUCUAAUUUGAUAUUAAAAUAUUAUUUUUAUAUUUGAUUCAACUAGUAUCUAUAUAAAAUCAUAAUUAAUUUGAUCCAAAAUUAAUUUAAUAAUUUUAAUUCAAUAUAGUACUUAUAAAAUAUUAUUUUUUAAUAUAAAUUAUAUCUUAAUUAUAUAUAAAUAAAAUAUUUUUAUUAAAUUAAUAUGUUGUUAAGAAUGAUAUCAGAUCAGAUCGGACUGAAUUCAGUUUGAUUUUUUCAAAUAAUGCAUAAUAUUAUAAAUUUUUAAGUUCAAUCAGAAUUUGAAUCAAUUUUUUUUAAAUCAAUUUGAUUUAAAUUGAAUUCUACUUGUUGAGUUCGAUUAGUUUGAUUCAUUGAUUUUAAAUUUUAAAAUUUGUUUUAUAUACUAUUUUAAUAUAUUUAAAUAGAUUUAUAAUAAAAUAAAUAUUUUUAUUUUAUAAAAAUUAAUAAAAAUAUAUAAUUUAAUUUGAUUCAGUUUUUUUUUUAUAUAUCUCAAUUCGAAAUUUGAUCCAAAUUUAAUAUAUAUAUUUAAUAUAUGAGUUUGAUCUGAAUGAAUGACAAAAAAUAAUUUAAAAUAAAUCAAAUAUUAUAAUUUCAAAUAAUUUUUUAUUUUUUCAAAUUUUUUUCUGACCGUGUUUGUCGCUCAAAGAACUCAUUCCUAGCUAGCUUUUGAGAAACUGAUGCGGAUUCGGGCCUUGACUUUUGAGUGAGUCAUGACCUGAGCAAUAGAUAGAACAGUGAAUUGGCCUCAAACUCCACCAAGUGGAGGCCCAAUACUUGCUCUAAUAGAACACCAACGUUAUCUACUGAAGCUCAAUGAAAAAAUACAUCGAGUUUGAUUCGGGAUUAGAAUAGCAGAGUAGAUUCAAGGCCCAGAGUCAGUUGCCUUCCAAUUAUCUUUGCUUCUUGGCUUUUUCCGUUUUCCAUUUUGUGGAUGCGAAAAUUCAUAUCAUAUAAAAUAUUAAAAUAUAUAUUUAUAUUAAAUUUUAUAUAAAAACUAUAUAUUAUAAUUUAUAUUAAUAUAAAAAAUAAAAUAUAUAAAUUUAAUUUUAUUAAAUUUAUAUAAUUAUUAUUAAAAUUUUAAAUUAUAUUUUUUUAUAUCUUAUAUUUAAUUAUAUCUAUAUCGUAUCAUUAUAUUAUAUUUUAAAUUAUCGUAUUUAAUAUUUUGUAUGGUUAACUUUUGGGCAUAAAAGAAUAAUGAAGUUGUUAAUGGUGUGUCUCUAUUUUAUGUUUGAAAUGGACUUGACUGGUGAUAGAAAUCAGAGGUGAGGUGAAGCCUAAUGCGUGACAGGAGAGUAUAAGGAUUGACAGCUUCGAAUGUUAAAUCCCUUUGGUCCCCAAAACAUAAAAGGCUUAGUAUUGACCCAUUGUCCCUUUCAUUUGCUUUGUUUGGUCACAGUUGCUGAUUUUGAAAGCAAAAAAUGAAUUUAAAAGUUGAAAAUGAAGUGUCAAAAAUCAACAUAAAUUGAAGAUCUAUUUAAAUGGACAAUUAAAUUAAUUUGUGUGGGAUUAAAAAUAAUAAUGACAAUAAAAUUUUUUAUUUUUAACGAUGAGAUUAAUUGUUAUAAAAAUAAGAUUGAAAUCAAUAAUAUAAAUAUAUAUUUAUUUAAAUACAAAUGAAAUAAUGAUAAAAUUGGAUAUAAAAAUCAACUUUUUACCAAAAAAAAUCCAUUGUUCUAAGAUCAAAUGAAUCGUUUGUAGUUGAAGGCAAAAUCCUCCCUUGAAUUUCUUUCGAAAGUAGAUGAAAUCUAAAUGAGAGCUAAAUAUUUGCAUAAUAAGAUUGAUUUUAAUGGAUGUCAAUGGAUUGCGUUAGAACGAAAAACAUCAUAAAAUAUAUAUUUGAUUUUGAUUGGAUUUGAUAUUAAAAUAUUAUUUAUACAUUCAAUCUAAUUCACAUAUAUAUAUAUGAAAUUAUAAUUGAUUCAAUUCAAAAUUAAUUUAGUAAUUUUAAUUUAAUAUAAUAUUUAUAAAAUAUUAUUUUUAAUAAAAAUUACAUUUUAAUUAUAUAUAAAUAUAAUAUUUUUAUUAAGUUAAUAUCUUAAAUUAAAAAUAUAAUAAUAGUUUUAUUAAUAUAAUACAUAUAUAAAUAUAAAAUUAAAUAAAUAACAUAUAUAUAUUGAGUUUGGUCAAAACGAAAUUACUUAAAACUCGAUUUUGAUUUUUUUUUUUAAGUUCAAUCCGAUCCAAAAUCUAAUUAAAAAAAUCAAUCUUAAAAAAUCAAAUCAAAUCAAAACCUAACAAAUUUGAGUAUAUUUAUCAUCCAUAGGGUCUAUUUAGAUAAACGAUGAGAUUAAUUUUAGUGAAAUUAAAAAUAGUAGUGAGAUAUAUGUCUGGAUACAAAAACGACGAUGGUGAUGAGAUAAAUUAUAGUAAAAAAAAUGAUCAUUAAGAAUAUUAGAUUAAAAAUUACAUGUAAUAUAAAUUUUAAAUUAGUUAAUAUUUAUAAAAUUAAUAAAUUAUUUUAAAAAGUUAUUAAAUUAUUUUUAUAUCAAAUAAUAUUUUUGUUAAUAAAUAAUUAAAAUAUAUUUAAUGUUUUUAUAUAAUAAAUUUAUUAAUUUAUUAUAUAAUAGUAAAUUUUAUUUUUAUAUUAAAUUAUUAAAAAUUACUUUGCAAUUUUUAAAUUAUUUAUAUGUUAAAUAAUAAUUUUAUUAAUAAAUAAUAUUUUAUCUAGAAAGAAAUUAUUUCCUAACUUUUAAAUAAAAAUAAAAUAAAAUAAAACAAAAAACAAAAAGAAGGGUUACAAAUGAAAAUACUUAAGAACUAAACUCCACAAUUUUUCAUUGGACCCGUAAAGGUCCAGUGUACAUUUUGAUUCCAUUGCAACUGCGGUGUGGUGCAUUAGAACUAAUUAUAUCAAUAAUUAAAUUUAAAUGUUAAUUUUAGUAUGAUUUAUUUAAUAUAAAUAUUUUUAUAAAAUUUUUUAAUUAUAAUUAUAGUAAAAUGUUUUCAAUCAUAAUUAUAAUUAUAAUAAUUAUUUUUUUAAUUUUAUUAAAAUUAAUUUCACUAUCCAUUUAAAUAAAUUCUUAUUCUUAGUGUGUAACUGGUACAGCAGUGCGAAGAAGCAUUGAAAAAUUGCCAUCCAAAUGCAAUAAUAAUGCAAUUUGUGGCUCUAAUCGUGCCUAAUUGAAACUGCUUCAAAUUCAAAUGAAGCUCUGAUUGGUUUUUCAGAUAUCAUUGUCGUAUUUAAAAAUGUAAAUGAUAUAUUAUUAUUUAUAAAUUAUUUAAAUUUAAUUUAAAUAAAAUUUAAAUUUGAUUUCAUUAUUAUCGAAUCGAGUUCAAGUUCGAAUAAUUUGAUUUAUCUAUUGAAUCAAAUUUAAUUAUUCUUAUAUUCAACUCGAGUUACUCACAAAUUUAUAAAAUUUUUAUAUUUUAAUAUAUUUUAAUUAUUAAAAUAUUUUAAAUUCAAAUUUAAAUUCAAACACAAAUAAUUAAAUUUUUAUAAAAUAUAAGAAUCAAUUUUAUUUUUAUAUAUUAAUUGAGUGAGCUCAAAUAAUUUAAUUUUUAUCCCGAGCUCAAAUUAAAAAUAAUUUAAUUAAAUUCAAAUUAAAAUUUAAAUCUCAAAUUUAAAAUCAAAUUAAAAUUCAAACUUAAUAUUAUUCCAAUUCAAAUUAUGUCAAUUACAUUUCUAACCGUACCUAUGCAAACAAAGAAUAAAAUCGUAAAACUCGCCUGUCCAUCGACUGCUUAAAAAGAAAAAAAGAACACAACUAAAUUCUAAUACUAAUUCCCAUUGGCUUACAUAUCAGCUAAUGGUAUACGUUAAACCGUUCCAUAAUUCAAAUUCCCCACGAAAUAUCGAUCUGUACGCCAAUGUUCGCAUUUUUUCAAAAACGCUCCUCCUUGAGCUGUAUUCACUCUGUCACUAAUUCAACCCCCAUUUCCUCUUUUUUUUUUUUUUUACGUUUUAGAUUUUCCGAUUCAAAAUUAAAUGCCCCAAAUGAUUACCUCUCUAAAUCCCUAAUAAAUUCCAUGUUCGAACACUCCUCCUAUAUUAAUUUCAUCCAACCUUAUAUUUUUUUUCAAUGGCAACUUCAGCUCUCAAGUCAACGACCAAGAGAACUUCGGUCGCCAACUCACCAGGUGACUCUUCUUCCUCCAAUCGGUCCUCCGUCCACCGUCGCGCCAGGAGUCUCAGCAGAUUCUCUCGCCGGCUUCCCGGGGCUGACCACGACAAUGAUGAGCCUACUCCGGCUCCGAGAAGCAGGGGGAGGUUCGUCAAUACCGUCAGGGGAUCGGGGUUCCCGGAGAUUAGUCUCGACGAUCUCACCAUCGAGCUCUUUGGCUCCUCCCUCAGGGGACGCUCUGCUUCCCGGAAUGGUGGCGUCAUCCCCCGUAAUGGUGAAGGAGGAAAAGGAGUAGGAGAGAGUCUGACUCAGAGAAGAGGACGGUCAGUGUCCAGGCAAGGAUCUAGGGGUAGUUUUGUAAACAGUGGUGGUGGAGGAAGGUUAACUUCGGACACUGCUAACUCCAGUAGGAGAAGAUCGGUCUCGGCUGUUCGGUAUCAAAUCAGCGAUUCCGAGGUAAUAUUGUUAUCAUCAUCUUCUUCAUUACUAUUGUUUUUAUUCUUACGCGCGAAUAGGGGUGUAAUCAAGCUGCUGGAAGCUGAUCAAGUUUUAAAUAUCAAGUUUGAGCUCCAGAGAUAAAAAUUGAGUUCACUUGAUUAGACUUGUAUAUCAAAUAAAGAAAUGAGCUGAUUCCCAUACUCGAUUUCAAGCUCAAUUAUUUAUAUACAAACUCAAGCUCAAGCUUGAAUUCAUAUAUAUAUAUAUAUAUAUAUAUAUAUAUGUGUGUGUGUGUGUGUGUGUAUAUAUAUAUAUAUAUAUAUAUAUAUGUAUGUAUGUAUGUAUGUAUAAGUAAAACAGUAAUUUUUAAUAAAAUAAUUAAAAUAUAUAUUAAAAUAUAAAAGCUCGAUUAGAUUUAUGAGUUACUCGAGUUGGAUAUUAAGAAGCUCGAACUUGACUUACUCGAUAAGCCGAAUUUCUCAACUCAAUAAUGAUAGAGUUGAAUUCCAGUUUUAUCUAAGUCAAGCCUAAAUAACUUGCGAGCAUUAAUAUAUCAUUUACACCUUAUGUGCGAACUCAUUAUUUAGAAGAAUUCUUUAGUCAUAUUAGAAUGUUUGGUCGUGUAAAUGCUUAGUGGUCUAGUCUUGUUGUAUAAAUUUGGACGUUGUAACGAGACAUCAUCCAGCGACUGGACUUCGCUAUCCGCCUGCUUGUUUUGCUUAACUUGGACUCAAAUAUCAAUUUAUGCGGACAAGCCAAGUAAAAACUUUUCUCAUCUAGAGCAUGCACUUGUAACAUCUCCUUAAUGGCAUUUCUUGGUUGAAGUUUAAAUACAUUGGCGAAAAUGAGAAUAAUGUGGGAUUAUUUUGUAAGGACUUCUGGCUUCAUUUUUAAGUAUUCAAUAACUAUCAAACUCUUUGUGGUAUUGUAAGUGUCCUUGCCAAGUUUAUGUUCCGGAACUAUAAGUUUAAGUUCAUUCAUUGGCAUUUGUUUUCUGGAUUUUUAUGAUUUAGAUGACUAAUCAAUUUCCUUUACUUAAAUAGUAGAUAAUCUUUUAUCUGCCUGGGUAGUUUUGCUUUGCAUUUGAAGAAAGUAAAUGAGGACCUUUGGAAGUUUUGCACGAUUAGUCAAAUAUGUUUAUUUUCUUUUACCUAUAUUAAAGAUGAAGUAUCAUUGAUGAUAGAUAGUAAUUACUACUGCAAUUGAUCAACUUGAAUGGUAUGUUUGGCUUUAAUUAAACCUGUUGUUUUUUCAUCAUACUAAGAAAAAUAAUCAAAACACUAAUUUGUUGAUUUGCAUAAAUUCCUUGUUCCUAAAUAUGGCAGAGUGAUCUAGAUCUUUCACAGAACUCAAGCAAUCGUGCUAGUAUGAGAAGUUCCAUUGGUGGAAACAAUCAGAUAUCCUCCACUCAUAACCCAACAGCUUCAAAUAAUAGACAAGGCCUGAGAAAGUCUCUCAGCCAAAAGGACUUAAAGUCUCAUGAUGACUACUCUGUAAGCAUUAUCUAUCUCCUGGAAAAUUAUAGUUCUAACUUUUAUUAUCACCACUUAGUUAGUGGAAUUUUUAUAUAAGGAUGCUAUUUAGUGGUUGGGUUAAUCCUCACUAUACCUGGAUAUCUGUUAGCAUCUUUCAAACUCAUUUUUGUCAAAUUUGUUUCAUAAGCUUAAUGAAAUUUAUACAUGUAUGGAAUCAGAGCCACUCUGCUGCUUUAACUGAUGAUGAAGGGAGGGAUGCUGUUUUUGAUAAAAAUGGAAUGGAGAGGACAAUACGAACGGUUUAUGCGCAGAAAAAGGUUAGUUUUCUCUUUUAAAAGUUCAAAAUUAUAUAAUAACCACUGGGAAGAUGUUUAGCUAAAUCUGUCACUUUUACCCAUUAGGGAGAGCAUCCAAUUGUGGAUGAUGUGAAUGGUGGGUUGUAUGCCGCAAUGCGAAAAGAGCUUAGACAUGCUGUGGAAGAGAUCAAGACACAACUUUAACAAGUUUGUAAUUCUAUGUUCUGUCAACAUGCUUAAUGCUUUAUUUUCUCCUACAUGAGCAGAAUUUGCUUCAUAAAUUUUGACCACUAAACUUGUUGGAUGGCCUUAUGGUUUAUGCAGUCAAUGGUGAAAACAAAUUCCGGCAUAGCAAGUGAUGAUCGUUUGCAGCCUGUCAAUUUUGAUGCUAUCCAGGCUGUUUCUACAAUUAGAAGAAAGUACACAACAAAAUUGGAAAAGGUGUAAUAUCAUAUCAUAACCAUUCUAUGGUGCAAUACUUACCAUUUAAGUAAUGAUUAUGGUUACUGGUAUGGCACAUUUGGAAAGUCUUUGAAUGAACUAAUAAAUACUUUUAAUCCUUUUCUUUCUGUUUUCUCUAUGUGCAGCAGGAUUGCUAGUUGCGUGUGCAUGUGGCCUCUUUAGUCUUAAACUAUUUAUACAGUGCACUUUGCAGAAUUUUGUUGUUGUUGUUGAAGAUUUAUUGGUUUGGUUUGACUUAAUACGUUCAUUCAUGAUAAUCCUGAACUGAUGUUUCUUCUAGUUUUUUGCUUUAUAUUGGGAACCAAAAAUAAGCUCACAUUUAAGUUGCUUUUGAUGAAAAAAGAUAACUCUCUGUAGUACUUUUCAUGCUAAUUAAGUUAUUAACAUGGUUUUGGGUUUAUGCUUAAUGAGCUGAUGAUUGUUAAUCUACAUUAAUUGCUUUGAUGCUAUUUAUUUCCCUAAUUGAUGCCUCAUGUUUUGAUUUGAUAGUCAGAGAAGCAUAGUCAAGAUUUAGCUGAGAUUAUGUUGGAGGAGCAGCAUGGGAGAGAGCUCUCUAAAAUUGUCAAAGAAUUUCUUCCUGAACCAAAGAACCCUAUUUUUCAGAAACCUUUGCGAGCUACAAAGGUACAACUUCCUUUACACUCACUGCAAUAAUGCUGGACUUUGUACCCUCUUCGGUUAUUUUCAAGUCCUCGCCUUUUAUUUUUGUUAAAAUCCAUUAUAUUCUUAUGUUCUUUGAUGUAAGAAAGGUGACUGAUAUUUCUUUUGAUUGUUUAACCAAUUUAUACGAAUUGCUUCCCAGAGAAGCAAUGACAGAAAUAGCAUGUCCAGGCAAUUGACCGAGGAGGCUGAAAAAUAUAUUGAAGAUUUCAUCUCGAACGUUGAAGAUACAGAUAUUUCAUCAUUUGAUGGAGACAGGAGUGAUACUAGUUCAAGUAUAGGGGGAAUAACAAAGACACCAACUUUCCAGAGUCGACCAGUAUUUAAAUCUGUCCCUGUUGAAAUGGAUGGUGUAAUGCUACCUUGGUUACAGUGGGAGACUUCUAAUGAUGCAUCUCCAUUAUCGCACCAGAGUAAAUGCAAUCUUUCUCAGGUAAUCUACCUGCUAAUCGCGAUGUUUGCUUCCUAUUUCUUAGUCAUUAACGUACGUAAAGUUUGCUGAUUAUGUAAUGUUGAACUCAUCUCUAUUGACAAUAGGAAGCACCCUCUGCGCUAGACCUAAGCAAUCAAUUUACCAGGAGCCGAGAGAGUUGGAGCCCAGCUUUGGCUGGUUGUCCUUCAGUAAGUACUGGAGAAGUUACAGGAACUAAAUUUGGAGAAUCUGGAAGUUAUCAAAGCCAUUUUUCUUCAAGUGGAACCAAUAAGAUGCAGUUCGAUGUAGCUGAUUAUCUCAACGACAACAGCAACGAAGCUUUUCACCUUGAAAUAUGGAGCCAACGACAUAGAAUUAGUUCAGGUGGUCUUCUGCUUUGUAACCGGAUGUUCGUUUAAGCUAUGCUUGGUAAGAAGAACGAGAAGUGAUGAUAAUGAAAAAUUUAUUAAUUUAAUAAUUGAAUUACAAAAUAAGAAAAUGGUUAUAAAUUUUAAAUAUUAGAUUAACAUGUUUUUUAUUCUUAUCCUUUUCCAUCUUUUUUAUCAGACAAAGCCUUAGAUUCUAAAAAAUAUUCUUUUUUUCUUAUCAUUUUUAUAUAAAUUAUCAAUAAUUAAAAAAUAUAUAAAAAAUUUUAAUUUAACAUUAUGUAAUUUUAUCACUUUAUAAUUUGACAAACUAUAAAAUUAUCGAAUAAGAUGUGUUUAUGUAAAUAAUUUAUUUUCAUAAGAUAGCUAAAAUUAUGUAAUAUAUAAUAUAACUAUAAAGUUACUUGAUAUGGUGUGCCAAUGAGGGUGGGCAGGUGAUAAUCUUUUUUUUUAUAUGUAAGGUGGUUAAAAUUAUGUAAUUUAUAAAAUUUAAAUAAAAGAUAAUAUUUAAAUUGAAAAUUUUUAAAAUUAUGAAAAUUUCUAAAGUUGGUGAAAUAAAAGAUCAAAUCUUUUUAAAUUAUUAAUUUAAAAAUUAUUUCCAUUAAAUUUAAUUUGUUUUUCAAUAUUUUCAUAUUGAAAAUCAAUUUCCCCCAUGACUCUUGAGAUCAAAAGCCUAAAAACUUAAAAGUCAACAGGUUGAAAGUCAUUGAAGAAGAUCUAUGACAGCAAACGGCAAAAACAUCAGAACCGGUGCCUAUUCUUUCGUAAUUAAACAGAUCGGCUUUUUAGUAAGCUUUCGAUUUUAAAUUUUGUAAAUGAAAAAAUUAAAAAAAUUAUUUAUUUAUAAAAUUAAUUUAGUUUGAUUUUAAAUUAAUCGAAAUUCAAAUUAUUAUCAUACACGGAAGGCCUAGAAAAAAAAAUGAAAACCUUUUUACUUUAUCCUCUCUCGUCUUUCCCAUUUUCAAUCCCAUCGUUUUGUGGUUGCUUUGGGUGCUAUUGUUUUCAUGUGGGCUAAUUAGUAAAAUGUUUUGUAUUAUACAUUUUUUAUCAAUUUAAUAUUUAAAAAUAAUAAAAUUUUUGUUUUAAUAUUUCAAAUUUUAUUUUAUUAAAUAUUUUAAUACUUCACACUAUUAAUAUCUAUUAAGUGAUUGAUAUGAUAUAAAUAUCUAAUAAUGUCAUCUCAACUAUUAUUUUCCUAAUAAAUUUUUUUUCUAAUUUUUCCCUUUUUGGUUUUAUUUUUUAAUUUUUUUUAAAAUUUUAAAUAAAAAUAUUUAUUUUUAUAUUUUUAAUUUUUAUUUAAAUAUUAACGUAAAAAUAAAUAAUAUGAUGAUGACUGGUUUUUAAAUACUAAAACCUUCUUAUAGGCUUAAAAGAAUUAAAGAAAUGCGGAUUAGCGAGAAUGAAUGGUACCGGAAGCAGUUUGAGACAGAAGGGGACGUUGUGGGCAGGGCCAUUGGCGUUGAGACACGUGCCUCCUCGAGAUUGGCCGCCGAGACAAUGGGAAUUGGAUAGAGAAGUGCUGGAGUUUAUGAGGGAAGCGCAUAGUUUACAAACGGUGAGAGUGGAUUUGGAGAAACUGGAGAAGGAGAUGAUAAAUGGUGAAUCAGAUAUGGGUUUAGUGAGAUACAGUGUUUCUUAAGCAAUAUAAAGAAUGGGUUGAUGAUAGUAAGUAUAGAUUGGAAGACGAGUCUUAUAAGCAGGCAUUUAAGUAAAUUAGUAUUCUAAAUCUUAGAAGUAGAUGAGGUAAUUUGUAUGUUUGUUCAUUAUUAUAAAACAUUUAUAAUUUAUGUAUUAUUAUUAUAUUUUAUAUAAAAAUUACGUUUCGACAUAAAAAUAUGUAAUAUAUAAUUUUGUUUUGAUAAAUUUAUUUAUAAUUUUUAUUAAAAUUUUAAAUUAUAUUAUUUUUAUAUUUUUUAUUUAUAUUAUUUUUAUGUUAUGUUAUCGUAUUAUAUUUAUUAAUUGACAUUUGAUGCUUUUAAAGCGUGUGAAGUUGAUCAUGAAUUUUGAUGGAAAUGAAUUCUGCUGAUUAGCGGAGGAACAAUUUUAACUUGAGAACUUGGCUGACAUUUUUCUGUAGCAUCCAAGGGAGACAUGCUAAUGAGUUUCUGUGCUGGGUUUUUUAAUUUGGAUUUAAGGAUUCGAAAACCAUCGAGGUGUUGUCCCCACGAUGAUUAGAAGAACAGAAUGUGAAAGAAAUUGAAUAUUGUUGAUGAUGUUUUUGGAUGUCUUAGCUAAAAUGAAAAAAGCGAGGUUGAAGGGAAAGAUAACUAUGAUCUGUAGCUAAAAAAAACACGAUCAGGGAUGCUAAAGUUAUUAUUUUAGGGUGCGCUUUUAAUACUUAAGUUAGUAAGAUAUUAAGAUUGACUUAGGAAGCAAGGAAGAUGCAGACGGUGAAGUGUACGAGAUAAGUUUUCAAAGAGAAAAGUCAAAGAAAAUUAGGUCUAAUUUUGUGUUAUAUUGAAUAUUUGGUUUCUUAAUUACUUUUUACGUGAGAUUAAGGUGAUAAUUUGAUUGAGAUAGUUAAUAAUUGAUAAGAUAUUUGUGUGAAAAUUCAAAAGGAUAACGUGAAUAGAUGAGAAUUAUAUUUAAUGAUCUUAAAUAAGUAUGGACUGUAUUUAAUGAUUUCAAAUAAAUAAAAUUUUAGUUAGUUAAAUAUGAAGUAUUGUCUUGACAAGUUAUUGAUAGGGUCUUAAGCGAAUUCUUCAUUUGGUGAAAGGCAAUCUUCAUAGAGAGGUGACGUGAUUGUUUAGGCAUGUUUCAUCUGAACAAUUCAAAAAUUUAACUGGAUUGAUCAAGUUUUGACGUUGACCAAUUGAUUUAUGUGUAACAAGUAUAUAUUUAUUUUUUUUGUGGUGUCAACGUGGUAGAAAAUCUUUGAUUUUCCUUAACUUCAACAUGUUCUAUCCUAAUUUGUUUGGCGUUUAGUCUUUUUCAGGAUUAUGGAUGCACAUUUUAUAGAUGUAUUCCUUGUUACAUAAGUUCUUUGAUUUCCUCUAGAUUGUUCAACAGGAAGCAGACAUGUGGAUGCUCAGUCCUCUAUUGUUGGUUUUGCUGUCUAGUUUGUUUGUUGAAGGGUGGGGAAUACACCUUCUAUUCUACCAUCCUGAAGCUGGUUGUUCUGGUUAUUUAAUUAAAAUAUGAUUUCAAAAGUUAAUGCAACUGAGAUAUUUAGUUUCUCCUAGUGAUUUUGCUUACAGAUUGUUCUAUUCAUUAUUUUGAAUUUCAAAUUUCUACCAUGAUUAUGCUUUAAUUUCUUUUUGUUCCCUUUGCAGUGUGAUUGUAGAAGACCUCCUGUUCCUAGAAAAGAUCCAGCAGCGAAACCAGAAGAGGAGCCAUUGUUGGCAAAUCACCCUUAUGUUGAUAAGGUAAUUUGCAGCAAUAUCUUUGUCGAUAAUUGGUAAUUUAGAUAUGAAUGCAUCUUCUUUCCUCUUUUUGGUAGGACUCAAACUUAAUUUUGGUAGCAAUGGGCUAAAUCUCUGGCUAAUAUGCUGCUUCCCAAUAGUUUGUUCAUACAUGUGCAUCAGUGUAUGCCAUGGAUGGGGGCAUUCCAAGAGCUGACGCACUUUCUGGUGACUAUUUGUAAAUAGCCUUGUUAACAAUGGUUGUUCCUUGGCUGACCACUUCCUCUGUAAACAGAAAAUGAUAAUUCCUUUCACUAGAUCCAUUUUUGUCUGUUAUGCAGCUGUGGCAGAUUUGCUGAGCAAAUGGUUUUCGAUGAUUUGGAGGCAAAUCCCGAGAAAUACAAAGGUUAAAAGUUGUCAGAAUUAACUGAUGACAAGGAUUAUGAUGAAGAAAACAAUGUUCAAUACACCAAAACAUACUAGAGGAAAAGCCUACUACCAAAAAUGAUUCUGGUGAGCCUUUUUUUUGUCAUUUUGAUACUCACUAAGCUAUCUGCCUAUAUCUACCUGCUAAUGGUUAUAUGUCUUGACAGAAAACAAGUGUUUGAGAAGUUGAUUUGGAAGCUGGCUUAGCUGGCCGUGAGGUAAUUAUUCCUUGCCUGUUUGCAACCUCUAUUCUUGAUCUUUUUUGAAGUUUUGCUCUAAUCUUAACAGAAAUUUCUUUUUACCACCUAAGACUUGGUAGUUUAUGUGAAAGGUGGACAGUCUUCUGUUCUUAAAUAUAUCUAUGAACAAGGCAUAUUGGGUUCAUGAAAAAGUUGUGUUGACAACUCCAAGUCCGAUGUCCGUUUCCUUCUGGUUCAUUCUGCAUUGCCUCGUAUUUACCAUUAUCUAGGCCUGCCAGGCUGUGUGCAAAAGCAUGUCUAUGCUUUGUGUGUCAUAAUUUCUACUGAACCCCUGAUUUUUUCACAGCCGCCAAGCUCUUGGUUAGCCAUUGGAAGAGCCAGGAAGAUAUAAAUUAUAAACCUCGCAGUUAUUUUAGGAAGGAUCAAUAUGAUCCUUCAAAUCCCUUGUAUGGAUAUGACUACUGGGGAGAACCCAAGAACUCCGAAAGGAGCAAACAAAAGAGCGGAUGACAGAUGCCCACAAGAAGUCCAUUGUGGGAAAGGGAACCGUAUGGUAUGAAAUGUCUUAUGAUGAUGCCAUCAAGCAGAAAAUGCGAAGAGAAGCUCGUUCAAAGGAAACAAUGCAUAAGGAAGAUGAUGAAGCUGAAAAGAGAGCAAGGAAAUGAUGACGAUUUUGAUUACAGCAUUCUGAGUGAGUGCAGUUUUGAGUUCCCAAAUCAACCUCUUGUUAAUGGGACUGAAUCUUCUAGUAUAUCAGAUGAGGGAAUGUUUGAGAACUAACGUUAGUGAAGGAUCAUUCUUGUAUAAUAAUUGAUUAUAGUGUACAGGUAAGACCUGAUGGGGCUCAAUCAAUGACAGGAGAUCAAAUUUUCACACACAGCACAGCAGCAGCAAGUCAAUCAAUGCCAAAAGACCAUUCGAAACUAACCAAUUUGGCAAGAAAAUUUCGAACUUAAUUUCCCACAACAUGAUGUAAAACAAAUAACCCAAAUAACAAUACUCAAUAAGGGUUUGACAUCUCAGUUGUAUAAACUGAAAAUUAUCAGCAUCAAAGAUGUAAUUAAUACAAAUCUAAUCUCCAAACAUAAAAAAUAAUUCCUAUAUAUACAAGCUUCAUAAACCCAGGAGUUAGCCCAUGAGAAAAUAAAGCCCACUUAACCCAAAGCAAACCUACUAAGCGAACAAAAACAAAUAAGUCCACUAAAAAAUUUGGAACUGUUCUAUCACUUACAUUUCUUCCGAUGGAUUGCUUAUGGUGACAAAAGGGAGCAACAUACAGUGCUCGAUGUCCGAUCAUGCAAAAUUUCGCACAACCGCACAUAAAUUUCACUCGACAAGCACAUGGUGAAAACAAUCAAUCAAUUUCUCCUUCCUCUACAUCAUUUACUGGCUCCGGAGCACUUUGGGGAGGUUCAUCUUCUUCAUAUUCAUCAUCUGCCUUCAUGUAUAAUCCUAGUUGUUCGAGGGGAUUACUUCUCCCCUGGAGUUUGAAACUUCCUAACCCAUUUUGAGAAUGACCUGGGCUUGUCUCCUCAAUAAAAUUGGGCAAAUUUUCGUCGUCGGUGGUCCUAAGCAUUUCCAGAUCUUCCAUAAAUUGACUGUUCUCAUUGAUAUCCACCGUCUUCUCCAUCUGCAAAGAGCAUAAACUUUUUAGUAGCAUUAAGACAAUGGCACACCACUUCUGCCACAUAAAAAUGAUAUCCCAAUUUACCUUUAAAAGUGCCUGACGUGCAGCUUCUCUGUCCUCCUCCCUCUUCCUUUUGGCUUCAGCAGCAGCGUCUGCUUCAGCUUUUCUCCUAGCCUCUUCAGCAGCCUUGGCCGCUGCUUGCAACCGUGCCUUUUCUGAUAACAGAGUAAAGAAAAAAAGAACCAUAGAGCUUCAGAUAUUCAGGAAAAAAAUAUUCUACAUUUUCUUUUCAACCAAAGGAACAUUAAUCCAGACAAAAAAUCAUCAAUGAUAUAAAGUCUAAACCUUCUCUCUGCCGCCUUUCAAGUUCCUCCCUCUCCAUCCGCAGUUUCUCCGGAUCACCCUUCUCACCCUGUGCUCAAUCAAGUUAUAAUUAAUUGAUUGGUUAGUCAGAGUUAAACUUUGAGUCAUUGACCAUAUUGCAUCUACACACAUCCAAGAAAAACUGAAUUAGGCUACUGCACUAACCUUUUCAAGUGCCUUUUCUCGAGCUUUAAGUAUGGUGUCAGCAAAACGAUUCCUCAAAAAAGCUGCACGAUAGAGCUUUUCAGGGGAGACUUGCCUCUCAGAUGGAGCACUAUCCUCUAUAAUAUUACAGCAUUAUCGGUGAGAUGAUCCCCAAGAGUAACAGUACAGAGCCUUCUUAAUUAUUAUGCUUACCCUCUUGGUGGCCUUCUACCUCAACAGCACUAGGCUUAUCAUGAGAGUUCAACUCAACUUGACCGAACUCGUUUAAAGACUCUGUAUGAGCACAGAAGAAUAUGACUUUUUUUUAAUAGAGACCCAAGACAGAUUUUUCAGCAGGCGUGCAUAGUGCAGAUAUACAAAAAUGAGAAACUUACGAUUUGCAUCAUCAAAAACAGCUAAACUGCCGUUCUUUAAGUCCACAUUUGUUCCUGAAUCCAAAUUUUCCUACCAUAUAGGGAGGGGAAAGAUAAACCUUAGAACUGUGAUACACUAUGUCUCAAACACACCCACUGGAGACAAAAAGGUGCACAUUUGUCUUCAAUUCACUAAAACACUCAAUUUACAAAUUAUCAAGAUAUAGAGAUACCUUCAUAGAACUAACAGGAAGUGAAGCUUUAGCAGCAUCUGAUUCACUACCAGAAUCUGAAUCUGAAAAGAAAUAUAUCCAAUGAAAAUGAUUGACUUUUAAAAGAAACAACACAAGUUUACAGUUGCUGUGAAGCAGGUUUGAUUUGCAGUCAAAAUAAUACGCAAAAGGCUAGAAGUCUUUUUCAAUUUACUGAUGCCAAUACAGAAUUAAGAGAUUAAAGUAAGUAAGCAAACCAAACAUAUAUGUGAUUUUUAUGGCUUGAUUAAGAUGGCCCCCCAAUUUUAGUUACAUCAUCAAUGAACAUGAAGUAGAAACUAGGCAACAAAUCUCAUCAAGCAAAAGUAAUUAACAAAAUGGGUCUAAUUAAUAAACUCUACUCUCAAAACCAGUGAACAAGAAACCAUCUGGAGCCCCAUUGGUACAUAUUCCAAUGAAGACCUAAGAUAAUAAAUUCCAUGCUUAAUAGUAAGAGUUCAACAGUCAAAAUCACAAGGUGAAAAUUACUCAACCUUAUAUCAUAAACAAAGAUGACCUCUUACACUAAAAAUAUUCCCUUUUCUUUUUUUUUUUUUUCAGCUCAUAUAUGAUGCCCCACGCCCCCACCAAGUUCCAACACUCAUCUGAGAAGUCUCAGCCUACUCUAAAAUCAAGACAACCAAAGUUACCUAAACACGGCAGGGACAAAAUGCAGAUGGAAGUAAAAGAAACACAAACUAUGGCAAAGCAUAAUUGAAUAGCAUUAAAUGAGUAGAAUUAACUUUUGUAAAAGUAGGAUUACUUAAAGAUUCAAUUCCAUCAAUGAAAAACGUUCCACCUAGAGUUGUAAUGGGAGUCAUUUUCAAAACUCAAAAGUCAACCCUAAAGAUUAAACUUAAAUUUUUGUCUUCAACAUGUUAGGACAGAUAUCAGAACUACAUAAACAACCUUCUGCCCUUCACUACAAGUUGGAGAACCGAGUAGAAAUCAAAUGACAGCAUAGAGUAGCAAAUCAAAACCAUGAAAACAUUUUAUUAACCAAUCAACAACAAUAAAAAGCAUCAGACAACAAUUUCAAACUAGAAAACAGUUGGCAAACUAUGAUCUGUAAAUUGUGAAAAAGCUCAACAUAAACAAGAACAUAACAACAGAACUCUUUGUUAGAGAUAACUUUCACAUAAAACCACAAACUUUUAAUACAUAACAGCACCCAGAUCCUAACCCAACAUAUUUUCCAGAUUAAAAGAGUUAAAUAUUUCCUAUUAAAGUUUUAUUUGAUGAUAAAACAGUUAGAGCGUGCUCAUGCACAAUGCAAUUGCUCAAAAAAGGAUAUCUGAGGCAGAAUAAAUAAACAUGUACAAACCACUAGAAGAAGAACCUGAUUCACUGCUGGAGCUACUGGAACUACGGCAUCUACUGUUUCUAUGGGUUAAAUCCUUCUCUAUUUCUACAGGAGGGUAGCCAGAAGUGGAAGGAUCAUUGCCACCAACUAUAUCUACGACCUCAUCAACUUGAUCAUUACCUAAGAAGAAAGUGAAAAAAAAUCGGUUUCUGUGAUGAUUUGGUUUACUACCUUGCUAUCGGUAAAUAAACCAGCAACGCACAGAUGAGAAGUAAAUUACCUUUACAUGGCUGCAUGGAUGAGUUGCUAAACCCUGACUCAUUAAGAAACUACAAGGGAAAAGAAAAAGCAAAAUAAUCAAUGCCAAUAUUGCAUUCUGGAUAGAAAAAGCACCAAGAUAUAAGAGAGAGAGAGAGACAUAGGAAUACCUCCAUUUCACAGGGCUCAGCUUUUGCCUGGUUUUUCUGCUUCUCCAGCAAAUAAUCAUCCAAAAGUUUUCGCAAUUUGAACAAGGUUUCAUCACUGAGAGCAUCAAUAUCAAUCUCAAUCUCAUCCUCACUCAUUUGACCUUCGGUAGAACUAUGUUCUUUAAGGAAGUCAACAAUGUUUUCGGGCAAUUCACCCAACAAAGACUCUAAUUCUGUGCUCAAAUACUGCUUUUGCUGAUUGGUCAUGAUCUGUCUAACGGGCUCUGGCCCAACCAUAGUGUCUUUCGGGUUUAUUUUGUUCUUUUUCAAAGGUAAAAUGUCACUAUUUGUUUCAACUUCUAUAGGCACAGCAUCAACAUGCAUGGUUACGGGAAGCUUCUUUUCUAUUGCUUUCCAUCUUACUUCAAAAUAUUUACUUAGUGUCUCGGCCAUGCAGUGUACAUCAUUUCCAGGUGGGUUAUAUGUCAUUGCAUUUGAGAAUGUAAGGCGAACAUCAACAGCAAAGUCUGAUGGACUCGAAUACUGCCCUGAAGCUAUCUUCUUCUUCACAGUGCCCAAAUCCAUAGGGUGCUUAAUGACAGUGAAAUAAUCCGGAAUGUUCAACUUUACAGCAUCAACAGGGUUGUUAAAAACCCAACCAUAAUUAUGUUGCAUCAAACGGUUAAGCAAAGUCUCACACUGCUUCAUCAAAUAAGUAUUUGAAUUAUUCACUGCCACAGUUGGUUUCUGUUCAAGACGAGUGGAUGUGCUCUUUUUUGGGCGGGCUCCAUUACGUCCUCCAAGAGGCCGUUUCUUCGCUUGCAAACUCAAUACUUCUACCGACCGGUUAAAAUUCUCAAGUGGAGGCCUCUUCUUCCCAUCACUGCAACUCCUGUUAUCAGUAGACGGUGAUAAAACAACAAAACUGGAUCCCACAGAUGAGCCCAAAGAAGCAACUUUCUUCUGUAGCACUCGAACCUGUUCAAGCUCCAUUUUUAAUCUCAAUUCCAAAUCCUUUCUCUCAGGUCGUGACAUCUUAGACAAUGGCAAUACUUGUGUGGGGACACCAAAAUUAUCAUGACUAUCGGAAUUCAAACUUAUACAUUUCCUUUUAGGUGCAUAUGAAUCCUCUGAUGCUGUCAUCUCUGUAUCAACCCGUCCAGAGCUCCCAAAGCCCUCUGAUUCACCCAUGGUCUCAAUGACAUGCUGGUAACCAGGGAAAAAACCAGAAGAAUUCCCUCCCUUAAAAUGCUCUCUAGACUUCCGCAUCAAUUGUGAAAAUGAACACUUUCUGUAUUCCUUCUGUCCUGUGUAUUCUAUAGGAAUAGCUGGUGCCAUAAGAUUAACUUCCAAUGACUGCACAUAUCAACCAACCCAGUAAUACUUAUAACCUUCCACUGUUUAUUCUAUCAAAGCCCAGUCUGAAUUCGUUUGUUAUAACCUCGAAUUCCAAAUGUUAACUUCUUAUGUAUUUAUUCAAAUUCUUUCAAAAGUUCACAAAUGGGCAGUUCCUUACUCCUCAAAAGCAUUCAAAUGGGAAAAUUGGAAAUUUUCAACCUAACCAAACUGUCCUUUACACUCCAACCAAACACCAAUCUCAAAUCUUAGGCUUCACAUUCGUCAAAUAGUAGAAUGUUCAAUUAUAAACCUAAUAAAAACACCAAUCAAUAUCUCACAAAGGAAACACAAAAUUAUGAUCUUUCUUGAUAAGUCCUCAAUCGAAGCCACCUCGAGAAACCCUAAAAUUCUUUCUUCCCUUUGUUUGCCGCUCAAAAAUUUAACUUCUUUUUCCCUCGUUUUCGAACUAAUAAUUGAAACGAAUUGGCUAUUCAAGAAAAUAAGAAAGAAUCAUUACUUACAAGAGAAAAAUCAAUUCAAAAAUUAAUCUAAGCUCGUUUUGAGCAUAACCCUUUAGAAAUGAGAUCGGAUCCAACGAAGAUAGGAAGAACGAAAUGCGGCUAAAACCCUAAAUCAGCCCCACAAGAAUCUCAAUUUCGAAACCUGGAUCUCGCAACAGCGCCGUUGAUUUUCUCGAUUAGAAACCCUAGAGAGAGAAACUGGAACUCCCCUCCCUCGUCGAAUCUUCGCUUCGCAGCGCGAGCAAAAAGAGAGAGAAAACGAAAGAGAAAGAGAAAGAGAGAAGUUGUAAUCGUUGAUGGGCUAAGCGUUCGAGCUCACCUCUCUACUUAAAGGCCCAAAGGCCACUUCAAGCGCCGCUAUUGAACUCAUCCCAGCCGUUGAUUCGUUUAAUUGGUGAAAUCUAGCGGUUACUGUUUUUAUUUCCAUAUCCACCGUCAGGGUCUAGAUCUGGCGGCUGUUAUAAUUCUCGGACAAAUCUUGAUGACUUUCCCAGAGUUCUAGAUUACAAAAUCCAAUUGUGAAAGAAAAAGCCAGUAAGAGAUACGCUCUCGAGUAAAAAAUAUAAAUUACUCGCUUAGGCAAAAGAACACAUUUUAACGGUUCUCGUAAAGGACAGGUGGCAUACUAAUAUCAGCGAGUAAAGAAAUCUAUUGGGAAUGUGGGAAGUAAAGAACAUUUACCAACCACGUGUCUGCAUUGACUUUACUGUCCGUGAUACUACUUUUUCCACGAGUGCUCAAUUUGGAGCUGUGCUCAGCCAAUUCUUUUGCCACCUUUUCAUAACAAAAGAUUCAAAAACCAAUAUAUAUUUUUUUACAUAAAAGGAAAAUUAUCUCUUAUCACGUGUAUUGAAAAUUAUUUCAUUCAAUAAUUAUAUUUAAAUGAUUUAUUAAUAAAAUAUUAAAAUUUUAAUUUUAAAUAUUAAAAUUUAAUCUUGUGUGAGUAUAAAAAAAAUUCUCAUGCAAUGAAAUUUAUAAGAUUUGAAUUGAUAAUUUUUUUAUAUUUUUUAUAAAAAUAUAUUGAAGAAUUAAAAAUUAAAAAUAAAAAUAUCUAUUAACGAAAUGUUUAUUUCUUUGGCAAAAAACAUCAUUAAAAAAAUUUAUCUCAUUUUAUUAAAUUUAAAAUAAUUAAUAUAUUAAUAAAAACAAAUUCGAUAAUAUUUUAAUUCCACCAAUAAAAAUUAACAACUCCGCCCAUAAGAUAGCUAUUGGGCCUGGAUUGACAGCAUAAUGGACUCCAGAAAACCUUAACUCAGUUGUGGAAUCGUUUGGAACUUCAAAAUCUGAAUGGACGGGGUCUUGCCGAUCAAAUGCUCCCUUCCAACUCCAAAGGACAGUCCCGCAAUUUCCAAGUCCUGCGCCUUUUUUUUUUUUUAAUUUAGAUGAGGAUACAUAUUAUUUUUAUUUAGGAAGAGAAAUUUAAUUUUAAUUUUUUAAUUAGAAAAUCUAAAUUUAAAAUAAAAAAAUAAUUGCAAACACUGUAGUUUGAAUCCAAUCAAAUAAAAUCUUAGCGUUAGAGCAUUGGUGCAUAAGUGAACCGAGGACAAGUAACGGCAGAACUUAAGGGGGAGAAAAAAAUAAAAAAAAUUAAAAAUCGAUUCAAAAUCAUAAUAUUAGAUUUGGUUUGAAGUGAUUUUUUUAAAUUCAAUUCAGAUAAAGGUCGGAUAUUAAAUAUAUAUAUUAUGGUUCGAAUUCAAUUUUGGAUCGAAAGGUAAAAAAUAAAAAAAAUAUUAAACUCAAUGGAAUUAUAAAUUUUUUAGUUUUUAUAUAUUUUUUAAAAAUUUUAUAAAAUAAAAAUAAUAAUUUUAUAUCAAAAUCUACUUAAAGAUAUUAAAUUUUUAUAUUAAAAUAAUAUAUAAAAUUAAAACUUAAAAAUAAGUAAACUAAAUUAAAUCAAAUCAUAUAAUUCAAUUCGAUUAGAUUCAAAUUAAAUAAAAAUUCAAUUGAAAUCAAAAUUUUAAUUUUUAUAAUAUUAUAUAAUAUUUAAAAAAAUUAAAUCGAAUUCAAUCCGAAUCAAAUCAUUAUAAUCUCUAUCAAUACCCUCUUUGGCUGCUGAAUAAUUGCAGGCAAAUUCAGCCAUCAGAAAUAAAACGUUACAUAAAGCUUUUUCUAUUAGUUAAUACAAUGUAUGUACACAUGCUAGAUUUUUAUUUAUCGUAAUCGAUGACUUUAAAUUAAAAAAAAAGUUUAAUAUUUGUAUGCUGCAUAUUAAAAUUAUAAAAAUUUAUAUUGGUCAAAUAAAAUGAUUAGAUGUGUGCAUUAAUUAUUAAAUUAAAUAUUUGAAUGAUAACAAUUGGAUAAGUACCAAAAAAAAUAAUUAUUAAAUUAAUUUAUAAAUUAUUUACCUUUCAUAUUAAAUAAAUUAAUAAAUUACAUGAGCUAUAAUUUAGAAAACUCUGGAGAACAGUUUAAUUAUAUUUAAAUCUAAUUUAACUUCUUUCGAAAGUAAUUGUUUUUAGAUCUGGUUGAAUUUCUUUUGUUAAGCUAAAAAAAAUUAUCACUUUUUAAUUUAACAACAUUUUUAACACUCAUUUUUCAACUUAAACUUUUUUUUAAUUAUAAACCAUUUUUUUUAAUGUAACAACAAUAUUAACUGCAACAACAAUCCUGACCUUAGCCCUUGGAAGACUUGAGUAGACACAUAUAAAGUGCGAUUACAUGACAAAGCUGUGAGAAGGAAGAGUCGGAGACAAAACAAAAACCAAAAGAUAUACAGCACGAAGGAAUAUUAUUGCAUAUGUCGUCAUGCAUAUUUGAGUUGCCGAGUGAGUACGUCAGAACUGAGAAAUGGUAGCAUUGAAAAAGAAAGGCUCCCAUUGGAGGAGUAUUGGAGAAUGGAGAAUAAACACCUGCCCUAACCAAGCAAAGAAUAAAAACCCAGAUUCGUCCACCUGUCCAACUGCAUGUUCCUCUUCUCUGUUACUUCACACCUGUAACGUCCUUGAAGCACAUACUUUUCUCAUCUGCCUGUUUCCCUGUUUUCUUUGUCCAUUUUCUUGUUUCUUUGUCAUCCUAUCUCAUCUACUCUCCCCCUUCUCUGUAAGAUUUAGCUUUGAACUAAAUCUAUAACGAGAGAAAGUGGGUACUGAAAAACUCAACAUAAUAUAACUACUGGAAACUGCCAAAGGCCAAUCAGAAUCCAUUUUCAGAUCCUCAAAACGUUAACAACUAGAGUAAACAAAGAAGUACUGGCAUAAAAUAAAACCAUCUACAAUAAUAUAAUAAUAAUUACAUAAAAUAUGGGUACUUUCAGUUCCUUUUAAAUCCCUUAUGAACAAAUGUUAUAUCUCAAAAUUAGAAAGAGACAGAGAACAAGAAAAUCCCCUACAUAAAAAUUAUUCACAAUUCAAAAGCAAAGUUGGAUGUAGAUAGUAAGCUUGUCGUGCAUUAAAAGAUUGUGGUUUUUUUUUUUGUUUAGCGGCCCAGGAAAAGAGCGGCGUUGAUAUCAAGCCUCCAUGCAAAUCCACCGCCGUCCAUUCUCCAAACAUCGCAAGGCAGAGUCAAGGAACUCGUAUCCUUCCCACAAGAGUACUGCACCCUUACCCUGCAUGUAAACGCCGGGUAUGUUGUCAUCGGCAGCCUCUGCUUCAUCACUAACCACACCAUCGUCUCCCCUCCCACCAUUUCCUUGUACGCACCGUUGGUCCACGUUACCCUCCCAGUCACAUCAGAUAUAAAGCCAGGACACGUGUCCCUCCCCAGAUUAACCUUCCGCUCUUCGUCCGUACUUCCCAGCCCAUCCCCACUUACCCACGUGUCUGUCACGCAUUCCACCGUGACGCACGAACCCAGCACCCUCACCUUCCUCGGCGCCAUCAACAUCGCCCGAUCUGCUAACGCAUCACAGCCGUAGAAGCCCCCGUUUUUAUCAUCAGCUUGACCAAAGCUUAACCACAAAGGCAUCACCUUUUGGACCACUCCCUUUUCCUCCUUCAAAAUCGAGUCUUUGCAGUCAGGGGUUUCAGGAAGAAGCGGCAAAGUAACUAUUUUCUCUUCGCUCAAAACUCUUCUUUUUCGGUUGCACCUCUUUGUAUAACUCAUAGUAUUACUUUCUUUGGAGUGUCUUCUUUUGCCUCUCCCUGAUUUAGAAUAAACCUCAGUGUUCUCCUUGGUUGGAACCGAGCCACCGGUCGCCGGUUUGGGAGCAAUCGGUCUGAACCGGAGCAUUAUCCGAUCCACUUUUGACAUAUCGUAAACCCCAGCAGCAGCAUAUCUCGCUAUGCAACAUCCUCCUCUACCCUCCAUUUUUUUUCACUUGUGAAAAUCUCACACUGUUUCGCCUUUCUGUGCGUGUCCAGGGUUAGGACGAUUCAUGCGCACUAACUGGUGAGGAGACGGAGAGAGAGUGGCGAGUUAUAAGGAGAAUGGAGAGGACACGUGUGUGAAUAUUGGGAGUCGACAAGCAAAACGUGGCAUUUAGGUGGGGCCCAGCGGCAUGGAACGAGGGUUGAGUGGACCCCAAGGGAGAGCCAAUAGGAAGGCAAGGAGUGUCCCUGUUAUCGGCGCUGAGCGGAGGCAAGUAGGUCUCGAGUCUCACGCUUAACUGCUUACGUGUUAAUCGUGGGAGUUAAAGGACACGUGGGCCAAUGGGGAUGGGCUUUCCCGUUCCAAAAAUAGUAGGGUUGGAGAUGCGUGACGCGUGGACGGUAGAUGACGACACGUAUCUCGGUUUGAUUGGGAUGCGUGACGUCAGAAAAUUUUGGUCUAUCGAAGAGGCAAGUGGUGCGUGGGGUGGGGGAGGGACGACGUGGACGAGACGAUAUUUUCUCUUGCUCCGUGAUUCGGUGUCAGGAAAAUGACUAAGUUUUUUAAGAUAUUGUUAAUGAACUACCGUCGUGUUUUAAAUGUGUUUUUGAUAAUGGCCUUUAGUUUACGCAUGGUACAAAAAUGGAUUCUGAUAAGUUACAAUCGAAUUUAUUUGUCGUGAUAUAAAAAUAUAAUUUAGAGAUUUGAACGGAUUCAAAAUUUUAAUUA
This 24075-nucleotide long non-coding RNA is filed under the name Durio zibethinus. RNAcentral's name for it is "long non-coding RNA (DZIB_LNC000120)". The record is from RNAcentral. Lineage: Eukaryota; Viridiplantae; Streptophyta; Magnoliopsida; Malvales; Malvaceae.